UUUACUAUAUACGUAAUAAUAAUUUCAUUAUGUAGGAUCGUGAGCAAGUUCGAACAAGCAGCAGGCAAAAAUAAAAAUUCACGCACACGGCAGGGUCGAGAAGUUUUGCUUCUGUAGCUGAGGCCGAGGAAGUCAAAUCUGGACAAAAGGUUGGACACCUUCAGCUUUUUGAGAUUACGCAUAGGAAGAAAGAUGGAUCUCCUAUGACAUCCGAAGCUGGAGAAAUUAUGGAGAAACUAAAGGAGAAGAAGGCAGAAUAUGAAGCGAUUGCUUCGACUGAUAGUUCUGUUAAUCUUGAGAACAUUGAUAAUAGAAUUAUCAUUGAAGUUUUGGGUCCUGAAAGGUACGGUCAGG
This is a long non-coding RNA of Gossypium arboreum, 354 nucleotides long. RefSeq lists it as uncharacterized. NCBI's taxonomy places the organism in Eukaryota, Viridiplantae, Streptophyta, Magnoliopsida, Malvales, Malvaceae. The transcript is spliced from 3 exons. The record is from RefSeq and is a predicted model, not a curated record.